CAAAUCGACACAGAAAUUAACAAUUGCUCUCCCAGCUACAAAACGUAUCCAAAACCAAAGAUGUAGAACAUGUUCUAUCAUAAUCAUUUGGUAACUAAUGUAAUUACUGUCUCCCCAUGUCUGUAUUGAACAUAAAAAAAUAUCAAAUAAAUAACACUCCUAAUGCUCAGAUCGGUUGUCACCGUGCAACACAGUUAUUAACACCAUAUAGGAAAAACAUAGAACUUUAUUGUCAUUAGACACUGUCAAACAUCCAAACAUACUAUCCACACUCAUCUGUGUCCAC
RNAcentral lists this long non-coding RNA (286 nucleotides) under Mytilus galloprovincialis (Mediterranean mussel). Lineage: Eukaryota; Metazoa; Mollusca; Bivalvia; Mytilida; Mytilidae. The record is from RNAcentral.